GUUGGUUGUCGUCAGCUCGUGUCGUGAGAUUGGUUUGGGUUUAAGUCCCCGCAACGAGCGCAACCCUCGACUUUAGUUGCCAGCAUUCAGUUGGCACUCUAAGGUGACUGCCGGCUAAAGUCGGAGGAAGGUGGGAUGACGUCAAAUCAUCAUGCCCCUUAUGACCUGGGCUACACACGUGCUACAAUGGGCGGUACAAAGGGUCGCGAACCCGCGAGGAGGAGCCAAUCCCAAAAAGCCGCUCUCAGUUCGGAUUGCAGGCUGCAACUCGCCUGCAUGAAGCCGGAAUCGCUAGUAAUCGCGGAUCAGCAUGCCGCGGUGAAUACGUUCCCGGGCCUU
RNAcentral lists this ribosomal RNA (339 nucleotides) under uncultured Anoxybacillus sp. RNAcentral's name for it is "bacterial SSU rRNA". It matches the Rfam family "Bacterial small subunit ribosomal RNA", at positions 1044 to 1382 of the family's 1533-position model. The record is from RNAcentral. Lineage: Bacteria; Bacillati; Bacillota; Bacilli; Caryophanales; Anoxybacillaceae.